This 254-nucleotide ribosomal RNA is filed under the name uncultured bacterium. RNAcentral's name for it is "partial 16S ribosomal RNA". It matches the Rfam family "Bacterial small subunit ribosomal RNA", at positions 524 to 777 of the family's 1533-position model. The record is from RNAcentral.
UACGAAGGGGGCUAGCGUUGUUCGGAUUUACUGGGCGUAAAGCGCACGUAGGCGGAUUGUUAAGUCGGGGGUGAAAUCCCAGGGCUCAACCCUGGAACUGCCUUCGAUACUGGCAAUCUCGAGUCCGGAAGAGGUGAGUGGAACUCCUAGUGUAGAGGUGGAAUUCGUAGAUAUUAGGAAGAACACCAGUGGCGAAGGCGGCUCACUGGUCCGGUACUGACGCUGAGGUGCGAAAGCGUGGGGAGCAAACAGGG